RNAcentral lists this small nuclear RNA (303 nucleotides) under Castor canadensis (American beaver). Its description in RNAcentral is "7SK RNA (ENSCCNG00000003439.1)". It matches the Rfam family "7SK RNA". From Rfam's summary of the family: 7SK was discovered as an abundant small nuclear RNA in the mid-70s but a possible function has only recently been suggested. Two independent studies have found that 7SK RNA binds the CDK9/cyclin T complex (known as elongation factor P-TEFb). P-TEFb activates transcription by phosphorylating the C-terminal domain of RNA polymerase II. The record is from Rfam by way of RNAcentral. Lineage: Eukaryota; Metazoa; Chordata; Mammalia; Rodentia; Castoridae.
GGAUGUGAGGGUAAUCUGGCUGUGACAUCUGUCACCCCCUGAUCCCCAGGGUUGAUUCAGCUGAUCUGAUUGGCUUGGUGGGUGUCCCCUUCCUCACUCACUGCUCCACAGAGUCCCUCCUGCAGCUGCAUGAUCAGUCAAAACGGUCGACCUUUCCAAUAGAGGAAGACCAUUCUUUAGUCAACGGUAUAUGAGUAGAUGCACUCCCCUGCUAGAACCUCCAAACAAGCUCUCAAGUUAAGCUCAACAAAGUUAGGUUAACUCAGGCCAGAUGCAGAGGUGCACAUCUAUAAUCCUAGCUAU